GAUCCUGGCUCGGAUUGAACGCUGGCGGCAGGCUUAACACAUGCAAGUCGAACGGUAACAGGAGAGAGCUUGCUUUCUUGCUGACGAGUGGCGGACGGGUGAGUAAUGCUUGGGAAUCUGGCUUAUGGAGGGGGAUAACGACGGGAAACUGUCGCUAAUACCGCGUGGAGUCGAGAGACGAAAGUGCGGGACCGCAAGGCCGCAUGCCAUAGGAUGAGCCCAAGUGGGAUUAGGUAGUUGGUGGGG
RNAcentral lists this ribosomal RNA (246 nucleotides) under uncultured bacterium. RNAcentral describes it as "partial 16S ribosomal RNA". It matches the Rfam family "Bacterial small subunit ribosomal RNA", at positions 15 to 257 of the family's 1533-position model. The record is from RNAcentral.